CACGUAGGCGGGCUGUCAAGUCGGCCGUGAAAGGCACGGGCUCAACCUGUGCAUGUCGGUCGAUACUGGCGGUCUGGGGUAUGGGAGAGGGAACUGGAAUUCCCGGUGUAGCAGUGAAAUGCGUAGAUAUCGGGAGGAACACCAGUGGCGAAGGCGGGUUCCUGGCCCAUGACUGACGCUGAGGUGCGAAAGCCGGGGGAGCGAACG
RNAcentral lists this ribosomal RNA (207 nucleotides) under uncultured bacterium. Its description in RNAcentral is "partial 16S ribosomal RNA". It matches the Rfam family "Bacterial small subunit ribosomal RNA", at positions 568 to 774 of the family's 1533-position model. The record is from RNAcentral.